This 406-nucleotide ribosomal RNA is filed under the name uncultured bacterium. RNAcentral describes it as "partial 16S ribosomal RNA". It matches the Rfam family "Bacterial small subunit ribosomal RNA", at positions 30 to 526 of the family's 1533-position model. The record is from RNAcentral.
AUUGAACGCUGGCGGCAGGCCUAACACAUGCAAGUCGAACGAGUGGCGGACGGGUGAGUAAUGUCUGGGAAACUGCCUGAUGGAGGGGGAUAACUACUGGAAACGGUAGCUAAUACCGCAUACCAUCGGAUGUGCCCAGAUGGGAUUAGCUAGUAGGUGGGGUAAAGGCUCACCUAGGCGACGAUCCCUAGCUGGUCUGAGAGGAUGACCCGCCACACGGGGACUGAGACACGGUCCAGACUCCGACGGGAGGCAGCCGGGGGGAAUAUUGCACAAUGGGCGCGAGCCUGAUGCAGCCAUGCCGGGUGUAUUAAGAAGGCCUUAGGGUUGUAAAGUACUUUCAGCGGGAAGGCGUUACCCGCAGAAGAAGGAAGUGCUAUCUCCGAGCCAGCCGCCGCGGUAAUAC